RNAcentral lists this ribosomal RNA (443 nucleotides) under uncultured bacterium. RNAcentral describes it as "SSU rRNA". It matches the Rfam family "Bacterial small subunit ribosomal RNA", at positions 26 to 518 of the family's 1533-position model. The record is from RNAcentral.
AGAGCGAACGCUGGCGGCAGGCUUAACACAUGCAAGUCGAGCGCCCCGCAAGGGGAGAGGCAGACGGGAGAGUAACACGUGGGAACGUACCUUUCGGUUCGGAACAACCCAGGGAAACUUGGGCUAAUACCGGAUACGUCCGUAAGGAGAAAGAUUUAUCGCCGAAAGAUCGGCCCGCGUCUGAUUAGCUAGUUGGUGAGGUAACGGCUCACCAAGGCGACGAUCAGUAGCUGGUCUGAGAGGAUGAUCAGCCUCACUGGGACUGAGACACGGCCCAGACUCCUACGGGAGGCAGCAGUGGGGAAUAUUGGACAAUGGGCGCAAGCCUGAUCCAGCCAUGCCGCGUGGGUGAUGAAGGCCCUAGGGUUGUAAAGCCCUUUCGGCGGGAAGAUAAUGACGGUACCCGCAGAAGAAGCCCCGGCUAACUUCGUGCCAGCAGCCGC